CCUACGGGAGGCAGCAGUGGGGGAUAUUGCACAAUGGGGGAAACCCUGAUGCAGCGACGCCGCGUGUGGGAAGACGGUCCUCUGGAUUGUAAACCACUGUCCCCAGGGACGAAGAUGACGGUACCUGGGGAGGAAGCUCCGGCUAACUACGUGCCAGCAGCCGCGGUAAUACGUAGGGAGCGAGCGUUGUCCGGAAUUACUGGGUGUAAAGGGAGCGUAGGCGGGACUGCAUUGGAAACUGUUGAACUGGAGUACAGGAGAGGUAAGCGGAAUUCCUAGUGUAGCGGUGAAAUGCGUAGAUAUUAGGAGGAACACCAGUGGCGAAGGCGGCUUACUGGACUGUAACUGACGUUGAGGCUCGAAAGCGUGGGGAGCAAACAGGAUUAGAUACCCUUGUAGUC
Molecule: ribosomal RNA, 401 nt
Filed under: uncultured bacterium
Lineage: Bacteria
Description: partial 16S ribosomal RNA
Rfam family: Bacterial small subunit ribosomal RNA
Source: RNAcentral